CAGAGUUGCAAGACUCCCUAAACCAUUGUGAACCUACCUUCUACCGUUGCUUCGGCGGGCGGGCCCAGCGCCCCCCCCCGGCCCCCCGCGGGCGCCCGCCGGAGGAUACCCAAACUCUUGACAUUAGUGGCCUCUCUGAGUAUUCUUUACUGAAUAAGACA
RNAcentral lists this unclassified non-coding RNA (161 nucleotides) under soil metagenome. RNAcentral's name for it is "partial internal transcribed spacer 1". The record is from RNAcentral.